Cydia amplana is the source of this 230-nucleotide long non-coding RNA. RefSeq lists it as uncharacterized. The record is from RefSeq and is a predicted model, not a curated record. The transcript is spliced from 2 exons. NCBI's taxonomy places the organism in Eukaryota, Metazoa, Arthropoda, Insecta, Lepidoptera, Tortricidae.
CCGAGAAAAAUUACGCCGAUUUUUGUUUCGCCGACAACGAUUCGCCGACGGGUUGUUUGGCAGAGUAACGAUUGGCCGAAUCUCAUUACGCAUAAUAGUCGUUUGCGAGUGUAGUCAAUAAGCAGAACAUGGAUACGCAUAUUUACUAUUCGUAGAAUAAUCAUUUAGUAACUGUCAUAAUUACCCGAGAAACCAUUGGUCGAAUGUUCAUUUGGCAUUAAUAUUGACUA